AUUGAACGCUGGCGGCAGGCUUAACACAUGCAAGUCGAGCGGGGUGAUGGUGCUUGCACUAUCACUCAGCGGCGGACGGGUGAGUAAUGCUUAGGAAUCUGCCUAUUAGUGGGGGACAACAUCUCGAAAGGGAUGCUAAUACCGCCUACGUCCUACGGGAGAAAGCAGGGGAUCACUUGUGACCUUGAGCUAAUAGAUGAGCCUAAGUCGGAUUAGCUAGUUGGUGGGGUAAAGGCCUACCAAGGCGACGAUCUGUAGCGGGUCUGAGAGGAUGAUCCGCCACACUGGGACUGAGACACGGCCCAGACUCCUACGGGAGGCAGCAGUGGGGAAUAUUGGACAAUGGGGGGAACCCUGAUCCAGCCAUGCCGCGUGUGUGAAGAAGGCCUUAUGGUUGUAAAGCACUUUAAGCGAGGAGGAGGCUCUUUUGGUUAAUACCCAAGAUGAGUGGACGUUACUCGCAGAAUAAGCACCGGCUAACUCUGUGCCAGCCGCCGCCGUAA
RNAcentral lists this ribosomal RNA (503 nucleotides) under uncultured bacterium. RNAcentral's name for it is "partial 16S ribosomal RNA". It matches the Rfam family "Bacterial small subunit ribosomal RNA", at positions 30 to 523 of the family's 1533-position model. The record is from RNAcentral.